Molecule: unclassified non-coding RNA, 480 nt
Filed under: Hevea brasiliensis (rubber tree)
Lineage: Eukaryota; Viridiplantae; Streptophyta; Magnoliopsida; Malpighiales; Euphorbiaceae
Source: RNAcentral
GUUUAAAAAAGCCCAAAAUGUACAACAAAAGCUGACAAAACAAAAGCCAAAAUAUUCAGGAUCCAAACUUGUCUUAGAACCUUUAAAUCACUCAUAUCCAAUGUAAUUCUGCCUAGCCUAUACUACUUUGUCUCAGAUUCUGGUGCUAUAAUUUGUUCAACAAAAUUUGAUGCCAAUAUAAAAUUAUUACCCAAUCCACAUUUAUAAAUGGAAAACGAUCAUUGCAUUCAAUACAAGUGCAGUAAAGUUUAACAAAAGCAGGACAAAUAGAGUAGUGUCAUUAAUAUGGAAAAAUAUGCAUGCGGACAAAAUUUAACAGUACUGUGAUAAUGGAUCACGGAAGUCCAGAUAGCACACACAAAUAAAUUGAGGACUCCAAUUAUAAUUAGAAGCCAAAAACACACAUAAACCACAUUGGAAUUGACUCUAUCAAUGCAAUUCAACAAACAAAAGAUCGACAGAAACAAAGUCAUUCAAAUC